CCUACGGGUGGCAGCAGUAGGGAAUAUUGCUCAAUGGGGGAAACCCUGAAGCAGCAACGCCGCGUGGAGGAUGAAGGUUUUCGGAUUGUAAACUCCUUUUGUUAGAGAAGAUAAUGACGGUAUCUAACGAAUAAGCACCGGCUAACUCCGUGCCAGCAGCCGCGGUAAUACGAAGGGUGCAAGCGUUACUCGGAAUCACUGGGCGUAAAGAGCGCGUAGGCGGGAUAGCAAGUCAGAUGUGAAAUCCUAUGGCUUAACCAUAGAACUGCAUUGGAAACUGUUAUUCUAGAGUAUGGGAGAGGUGGGUGGAAUUCUUGGUGUAGGGGUAAAAUGCGUAGAGAUCAAGAGGAAUACUCAUUGCGAAGGCGACCUGCUAGAACAUAACUGACGCUGAUGCGCGAAAGCGUGGGGAGCAAACAGGAUUAGAUACCCUAGUAGUC
This 440-nucleotide ribosomal RNA is filed under the name uncultured bacterium. RNAcentral's name for it is "partial 16S ribosomal RNA". It matches the Rfam family "Bacterial small subunit ribosomal RNA", at positions 338 to 795 of the family's 1533-position model. The record is from RNAcentral.